AGAAUGUCUGCAGUAUUUCCUGAAAUAAGUAUCCCUCAAGGAUGAUACUGUGGACCUCACUCAGGAAGAAUGUGUCCUUCAGAGAAAGCUGCGCAGAGACGUGGUGCUGGAGAAGCAGUCAUCUGGUUACUUUGGUACAUGACUUCAGGCUCCUAUGUGCAGAAGUCCUCAACCCCCAGGCUGCAGACCAGUACCUGUCCAUGGCCUGUUAGGAAACUGGCCGCACAGCAGGAGUGUGUACUGUCAUUGUUGCUACAGGUGAAAUGAUUAUUGCAGUUUUGAGGGGAGAUGAUGUCACAAGAUCUCGAACCCAUAUCUCAGAACUGCCUGCCUCCUCCCACACACUCUGGCUGUCCUGACCAUCACUUCAAGCCCACCAGCCCUGCAGCAAAAAAAAUCAAACGAGUAGUUCAGAAGGCAAAGUCUGCAAGGGAAGGAAGUGUAUUGGGAGGAGUUUACCGUGAAGAAGCUGACUGCUAUGAAC
This 484-nucleotide long non-coding RNA is filed under the name Pan troglodytes (chimpanzee). Its description in RNAcentral is "long non-coding RNA NONPTRT007436". The record is from RNAcentral. Lineage: Eukaryota; Metazoa; Chordata; Mammalia; Primates; Hominidae.